This 1506-nucleotide long non-coding RNA is filed under the name Gossypium raimondii (Peruvian cotton). Its description in RNAcentral is "long non-coding RNA (GRAI_LNC005901)". The record is from RNAcentral. Lineage: Eukaryota; Viridiplantae; Streptophyta; Magnoliopsida; Malvales; Malvaceae.
AUAAAUCCAAAAAGUUGUUUAACAUAAUCUACCGGAGUAUAUCUGGAUAGUGUGAUUCUGAUGUAGAUCCGAUCCUCUGAAUAUAUAAAUACGUCAAUCUACAAGAAACAAUAAACACAUACAAGUAAGCUUAUAGAAAAGCUUAGUAAGUUCAUAGGCAUAAAACAUAAAUCUUACCAAACAUUUGUACACUUAUACAAUAUACACCAUUACUAAGUUUACCUGUCAACCACAAUCUUUGGUGAGUUCCUUGGUAUAAACUCACUACUACUUAUUCUUUUACCAUAAUUCCUUUGGACCCAUUUGUCACUUACCAUCCUUGAUCAAAAUUAAGGAACGGUUACGGAAAAUUGAGUACUUCACUUUCACUUUGCCAUAGUAUAACUAUGGUCUUACGUAUGAUCACUUAUCAUUUGUCCCUAAUCAGAUAAGUGUAGCUAAGCUACCACUUAUCACUUUGUCACCUGAUCAGAUAAGUAUAGCACUUAUCACUUUUUCACUUGAUCAGAUAAGUAUAACACUUAUCACUUUUUCACUUGAUCAGAUAAGUGUAGCUAAAGCUACCACUUAUCACUUUGUCACUUGAUCAGAUAAGUAUAGCACUUAUCACUUUUUCACUUGAUCAGGUAAGUGUAGCUAAAGCUACCACUUAUCACUUUGUCACUUGAUCAGAUAAGUGUAGCACUUAUCACUUUUUCACUUGAUCACAUAAGUGUAGCUAAAGCUACCACUUAUCACUUUGUCUCUUGAUCAGAAGUACUCAAAUCCGGCGUCCCGCUUAAUUUGAUUAUUUAUUCGGUUUUCGCAUUCUUAUUUUAUUCCCAUUUCAACAAUAAAUUUAUUUCAUCAUACAUUAUAUAAUUCAUGAAAUUAACAUUUAAUCAUUAAAAUUCAGCCAUAUGAACUUACCUGGGUCGAUUUGCAGAAUUUGUAAAAGUUCAGGGACUAAUCAACUACUUUUUCUUUUCCUCGGCUUGCUUCGGGAUCUCGAUCUAAAAUACAAAUUUAUUCAUUCAUCAGCAUAUAAUUUAAUUCUAAUUCAUUUCACAAUUUAUGCCCUUAAAUUUUCGAAAUUACACUUUUACCUCAAACUUUACAAUUUUUACAAUUUGGUCCCUACUCAAUUAACCCCUCAAUUGAUCUAAUUAUUCUCAAUUAACACAUUUUCCAACUAUUUUAGACUACUACAUAGCCUUUCAUAUUCAAAACCGCAACAUCAAACCUUAAUUCCCAACUUUUCCACAAUUAGGUCCCUAAAAUCAAUUUCUAUCAAAAUUACUUAAUAAAAUCAUCAUAUAACAAAAUUAAAGCUUUAAUUCCAUGUUUAUUCAUCAUAUAAUUCCAGCAUGUAUUCAUAUAAACUUUCAAAAUCAGCCAUGAAAUAAAAAACUAAUGAAAUAAUUAGUUGGACCUAAUUGUAAAAGUAUCAAAAUCACAAAAAAUACAAGAAUUAAUCAAGAAUUAAACUUACAUGAUUCAAAUAUAUGAAAAACCAGCUUGUUUCAG